GUUGUGGUUCCUGGGUCCAGUCAUCCGCGAAAGCUCUGUGCUCCUGCCUCUGGCCAUGCCAGUCCGGGUCCGGCAGUCAAAGGUCCAGAGUUCUGCGAUCCCUUGCAACUGAAUCAGAACAGCCAUAGGCAGUAUAGGCUUCCCCACAUCGUCAUGCCCACACGCUUCAACUUUGUCAUUGAGAACACUUCUAGAUGUGAGAGAAUAGUUCAGUCUCCAUGCACUUCAGUCCUUGGGCUCUUUGUUAAGACUGCCAACAAGAAUGCUCACUACUGACCUGGGAUGCCUUCCAACUAGUGAGGGUCCAAGUGGAAGAAAGCUUAUAUCCCCUUACGAGUUCAUUGAACUAUCCAGUCCUCCUGGUCUUUGUUCCUCCUGGUAGAAAUGAGGAAACAGCAGCAAGCA
Molecule: long non-coding RNA, 405 nt
Organism: Mauremys reevesii (Reeves's turtle)
Lineage: Eukaryota; Metazoa; Chordata; Testudines; Geoemydidae
Exons: 3
Source: RefSeq, a predicted model, not a curated record